RNAcentral lists this ribosomal RNA (253 nucleotides) under uncultured bacterium. RNAcentral describes it as "partial 16S ribosomal RNA". It matches the Rfam family "Bacterial small subunit ribosomal RNA", at positions 524 to 776 of the family's 1533-position model. The record is from RNAcentral.
UACGUAGGGGGCUAGCGUUGUCCGGAAUCAUUGGGCGUAAAGAGCGUGUAGGCGGUCCGGUAAGUCCGCUGUGAAAGUCCAGGGCUCAACCCUGGAAAGCGGGUGGAUACUGCCGGGCUAGAAUCCGGAAGAGGCGAGUGGAAUUCCUGGUGUAGCGGUGGAAUGCGCAGAUAUCAGGAGGAACACCAAUAGCGAAGGCAGCUCGCUGGGACGGUAUUGACGCUAAGGCGCGAAAGCGUGGGGAGCAAACAGG